AGCUUUGUGCAGUGGCAGUAUCAUAGCAAAUGAGGUUUAUUCGAGGCGCGUACUGCUAAUUGAAAACUUUUCCCAAUACCCCACCAUGACAACUUGAAAUACAGUCGGCAUUGGCAAUUUUUGGCAAUCUCUACAGGGA
Molecule: small nuclear RNA, 139 nt
Organism: Cebus imitator (Panamanian white-faced capuchin)
Lineage: Eukaryota; Metazoa; Chordata; Mammalia; Primates; Cebidae
Gene: U4
Rfam family: U4 spliceosomal RNA
About the family: U4 small nuclear RNA (U4 snRNA) is a component of the major U2-dependent spliceosome. The structure of U4 snRNA from yeast and human has been reported. U4 snRNA presents a k-turn RNA motif in the 5p-SL related to recognition of Snu13 protein.
Source: Ensembl